UACAGACUAUGGUCAAGUCCAAUUUUCUUCAAUGAUCGCCCUCAUCGUUGCAUCUACCAAUAUAUAGUUAUUGUUUUGAUUUGAUCGUUUCAAUUUUGUUGGCUUCUUUCAGAUUUUGUAGUCUCUCCUGACAAACAGAUGGGUUCUGAGAUCCACAGCUACCCGGAAUCAGUGUGGAGCCGUUUUCUGCUGAGCCUCGUCAGAAGGAUCCGACUGCGGACCUCCAGAGACUGGAAAGCAGCUCACCUCCAGAAAUGGGAAUAUCCUGCUAACACCUGCACGCUGCAAAGAAAAAUACAAGUUUACCAAGGAUGUUUAAGUCCUUGUGUUUUGAAACGUGAAGCAAGUCGUGGACCUGAAAAAUAGAACAAGGGGGGGGGGUUUGAAUGACUUUGUUCUGCAUGUGUUCAGAUGGCAUGAGACUCGUGAAGGCGUUUGUCACCAAGGAGUUGCAGGCGCUUCAUAGCAGGAGAUGGAAGCUCAUCCCGAGGAUGUGAAUGAACGAGCCAGUUCCUUUUCCAGGUCUGUUAGUUGCUUCGC
Molecule: long non-coding RNA, 540 nt
Organism: Lampris incognitus (smalleye Pacific opah)
Lineage: Eukaryota; Metazoa; Chordata; Actinopteri; Lampriformes; Lampridae
Exons: 4
Source: RefSeq, a predicted model, not a curated record